This 279-nucleotide ribosomal RNA is filed under the name uncultured Synechococcus sp. RNAcentral describes it as "partial 16S ribosomal RNA". It matches the Rfam family "Bacterial small subunit ribosomal RNA", at positions 1252 to 1533 of the family's 1533-position model. Lineage: Bacteria; Bacillati; Cyanobacteriota; Cyanophyceae; Synechococcales; Synechococcaceae. The record is from RNAcentral.
AAUGCGAGAGUAGCAAUCCCAUAAACCGUGGCUCAGUUCAGAUCGUAGGCUGCAACUCGCCUACGUGAAGUAGGAAUCGCUAGUAAUCGCAGGUCAGCAUACUGCGGUGAAUACGUUCCCGGGCCUUGUACACACCGCCCGUCACACCAUGGAAGUUGGCCAUGCCCGAAGUCGUUACUCCAACCCUUGUGGAGGAGGACGCCGAAGGUGGGGCUAAUGACUGGGGUGAAGUCGUAACAAGGUAGCCGUACCGGAAGGUGCGGCUGGAUCACCUCCUAA